RNAcentral lists this long non-coding RNA (262 nucleotides) under Elaeis guineensis (African oil palm). RNAcentral describes it as "long non-coding RNA (EGUI_LNC038777)". The record is from RNAcentral. Lineage: Eukaryota; Viridiplantae; Streptophyta; Magnoliopsida; Arecales; Arecaceae.
UGUGGAGCUUGAUCUUGUAGUUCUGGUACAACUUCCUAAUCUUCUACAGUCAAACAUUUCGAGUCCUCUCAUGAUCUGAAAAGUCAUACUUUUUUUGUACAAAGUUAUUAGAAGUCAGUUAUAAAAUUAUUUUAAUCAAACAUAGUAUAAACAUAUCACAUGCAUAUAUAUAAGAUACACUUACCCAAACCUCCUCCCACAUUCGGUCUUUGACACCAGCAUCCAUUAAUUACCAAUUUAUGAGCAGUAUGGAAAUGAUGUU